UGGGGAAUAUUGGGCAAUGGGCGAAAGCCUGACCCAGCCACGCCGCGUGAGUGAUGAAGGCCUUCGGGUCGUAAAGCUCUGUGGGGAGGGACGAACAAGUGCGUACCUAACACGUACGUGCCCUGACAGUACCUCCUUAGCAAGCACCGGCUAACCAUGUG
RNAcentral lists this ribosomal RNA (161 nucleotides) under uncultured bacterium. RNAcentral's name for it is "partial 16S rRNA". It matches the Rfam family "Bacterial small subunit ribosomal RNA", at positions 355 to 507 of the family's 1533-position model. The record is from RNAcentral.